Molecule: long non-coding RNA, 569 nt
Organism: Bombus pascuorum
Lineage: Eukaryota; Metazoa; Arthropoda; Insecta; Hymenoptera; Apidae
Exons: 3
Source: RefSeq, a predicted model, not a curated record
AAAUGAAUAGGGUCUGUUGUUACAAAUCGCCACUGCAAUUUAAUCUAUUCAUGCAUAAUUGAAACGGUGUCGAUAAAACAAAAAAAUUCAAAAAAUACUUAUCUCAUUUACUUCUCUGGCAAGUUUGUUCGUAUUGAAAUCCUUUUUAUUUAAUCACGAACAUCCUAUUCUAUCAUAAAAUCGGAAACAUCAACAAACAUCAACUAACAAUGGUUUAAAACGUCGAGGGAAGAAAUCGUGAAAAUAUUAAAAGAUCUGACUUGGUCGGAUUAAAAGGAGGAUUCCGGCUUCUCGUCGGUGGUGCAUUUCUCUCGAGGUCGCUUGAGGAAGGUCGGAGGGAAAAACGUCUGGAAGGCCGUGUACGAACACUCGUUCGUUGAAGAUUUUCCAGAGCUACCGGUGCACGUCGAUUUCGUUCGCGUAAUUUUUCAGUAUUUCACCUCGAAUAUUUUCUGGCGAAUAUUUCCAGCCGAAUGUUCGCGAUAUUAACUCGUUAAGGACUAAAGUUACGUUAACGCGUCAUUUAAAGAAUUAGGACAUUGGCACUUUGAAUUAGAAAUGUAAUAGGU